GACGUAGGGGGCCAGCGUUGCUCGGAAUUACUGGGUGUAAAGGGUUCGUAGGCGGUGCGGCAAGUCGAUAGUGAAAUCUCUGGGCUUAACCCAGGGGCUGCUUUCAAAACUGCCGUGCUCGAGUGCGAGAGAGGUCAGUGGAAUUGCAGGUGUAGCGGUGAAAUGCGUAGAUAUCUGCAGGAACACCCGUGGCGAAGGCGGCUGGCUGGAUCGCAACUGACACUGAGGAACGAAAGCUAGGGGAGCAAACAGG
This 253-nucleotide ribosomal RNA is filed under the name uncultured bacterium. Its description in RNAcentral is "partial 16S ribosomal RNA". It matches the Rfam family "Bacterial small subunit ribosomal RNA", at positions 524 to 776 of the family's 1533-position model. The record is from RNAcentral.